UUGUUUGGUGAAGGUGUGUAAAUUAGAAAGAGUGAAAAAGGGAGAUGUAUCAGUAGAAGAGUUUAGUAAUUAAGGGAGGAAGAGGGCUCAUGUACUGGGAUUAUAUUGGCAGUGGAAAGAGUAUGGGUUGGUAGUAUGAGAUGUUGGGGUUUUAGUUACAAAGAAGAGAGAAAAUAUAAUGUGAGUUACAAGGGAAAGUUUCUCCGUGAAAAGUAAGAGAGAGAACGAUGGGGCCUUAUUAGUUGUUGCGCAGAGGAAGAUAGGUUUUAGUUUUUUUUUAGUUU
Molecule: long non-coding RNA, 284 nt
Filed under: Vigna radiata
Lineage: Eukaryota; Viridiplantae; Streptophyta; Magnoliopsida; Fabales; Fabaceae
Description: long non-coding RNA (VRAD_LNC013106)
Source: RNAcentral